Molecule: long non-coding RNA, 5612 nt
Organism: Mus musculus (house mouse)
Lineage: Eukaryota; Metazoa; Chordata; Mammalia; Rodentia; Muridae
Product: predicted gene, 53777
Exons: 2
Source: RefSeq, a predicted model, not a curated record
AUGUUUCUUCCCAGAAUAAUAUUUAACAAUUGUCAGAUUGUGUGGGCUACUUGAAACAAGCUAAUGUCAUUUGGGAAGAAGGAACUGCAAUUGAGAAAAUUUCCCCACAAGAUUGACCUGUGGUACUUUUGACCGAUAGAGGGUUAAUAUGGGAGGGGCCAGCUGACUGAGGGUAGCACCAAUCCUGGGCAGGUGAUCUUGGGUUGUAAAAUAAGUCAGGUUGAGAAAACCAUAGGGAACAAGCCAAUUAACAGUGCUCUUCCACGUUUACUGCUUCCAGGUCCCUUCCUUGAGUCCUUACUCUGACUCUGAUGAUGGACUGUUUGAAAGACAAUAUUGUCCUGGUUGUGAAGGCAUGAAGGAGUCUUGGAGAGCAGUCUUGUCACAGUGAAAGGCCAGGAGAGGCAACUGGUGAACCUAUGCGGCAGAGGUGGAGGUAUGGAGUCCUUGGAGGAGCCCUGGUGAUCAUGAAAAUCAUGAGUAAGUCCCAGGUGCCCCACACUGAGCUGUUUAUAGUGCUGGACAUUGGUUUCGUAUUAUUCUGGUUGUAACUAUACUCUGGCUUCUCUUUUCUGAAAUAAGAAGUAUGUAACUUUUCAAAUUAGGAGACCACAGUUAAGGGAGUUUGGAAUUUUACAGACUUUGGAAUUUUAGAGAGAGAAGAAGUGUUAGAGAGGCUUGGGACUUUAAAAGAGUUUUAAAUAUUUUAAAGAGCCUGAACUUCUAAGUUGUGUAAAAAUUUGAAACCUGUGGGAAUUUUUAAAAUUGGAAUAUUUUAUGUUAUGAUGGGAAUAUUAGCAUGACACCUCGGGGACAAAUGAGUAAAGAAAGAUUGUAGUUUAAUAGUGAUGUGUUUGUGUGUCAAGUUGACAAGGGUCAAUUGUGCUGACUGGACUUUUUUUUACCUUGACACAAGCUAAAGACAUUUGAGAAGAGGGAACCUCAGUUGACCAAAUGCCCCAAACCAAAUUGUACUUUAGGCAUUCUCUUGAUUUUAUGAGUGAUAAAGGAGGACCCAGCCAACUGAGGGUGGUGCCACUGCUGGGCAGGUGGUUCUGGCUGGGACAAGAAAGUGGGCUGAACAAGCCAAGAGGGAGCAAACCAGUAAGCAACACUCAAUACAUGGCUUCUGCUCCACUUCUUGUUUCUGGGUUUCUGCCUUGACUUUUCUGCAUGAUGGACUACAAGCUGUAAGCUGAAAUAAAUCCUUUUCUCCCCAAGUUGCUUAUGGUCAUGGUGUUUCAUCACAUCAGUAGAAACCCCAGCUAAGAUGCAGGUGAAAUUGAAGGUAAAGCGAUGCCUGUGUUUUUACAAUUGUGAUGCCUCCUUGCUACUCUCUACUAUCCCUUCUUUUGGUCUGGACUCCUCCCACUCUGGACGGUACACAAGCUUCUGUCAGGAAGUCUCUUUCCUCAUAACUUAAUAAAUAAUUAGUGUGUGUUUCAGACAUGUACACUGUACUUGUAAGGCACAGCCUCAAUCUUGUUGGCUUAGAAUUCACAUCCUCACUGCAUCUCCAUUUCUCUGUCUUUAUACCAUCAUGUGAUGGCUUCACGGUAUGGCUUGUAGAAGGCAGUUGAGUUCUUCUUUCCAUGUUUUUUGGCUGGGUUCUCCCUCACAGUCCUGUCAGGUCCUAAAUCAGAUGCAAAAGGGAGCAUUUAGUAUGUGAAUACAUUUUACAUUCUUUAAAUGUAGAUUUCUUAGUACAGACUCAAAAUGGUUUCAAAUAACAGGAGUAUGGCCAAGCAACCAGAUGUUAUUUGAAAAAACUAUGGAUGGUUGUCUCUUUGUAUUUACUAGUAAGCUGAGACAUAAGUGUAGAAUUGGAUCAACUUCUUAAGAGCCUUCUUCCCCACUCAGAUAGUUACGGAAAAUCCCAGUGAUAGUUACCAGGGAAUGACAAGGAUUUUCCAGAAUCUCUGUUCCCUGAGAUGAUGGAAAAGAUUAAAAUAGUUUAUGAGCUUCAGAUAAGACAAGCCUGAACCAUGAAUAGGAAAAAUUAGUAAUUGAUACUAUUUUGUUUUCUGGUUCCAACUGUCUCUUCUGUUUUCUGGAUUAAACUCAUGGGGAUUAUAUUGGGAAGGCUAAAGGAAAAGCAGGCUGAUUAUUUUUAUAAUUUAAUCAAUAUGGUGAUUUUAUGUGAGGGGAGCAAAUUAGAUUUGACUGUAUCCUACAGGGCACCAGUACCACACUGCUGCUUACCAGUGGCGUCUUUAGAUUAAUGAAGCUACACACAUGGAGGCAGAGAGUCACUGGAUGAGUACACAUAGGAAUAACAUUUUUUAGGCUGCUCAGGAGCUGAUUUUAUGUGUUCUACCAGAAAUUUUUAUUUAUAAGUGAUGAAAAGUAUGUCACAUAUUGAGUAGCAAAUGGAUUCUCAUUCAAGUUGCGAUUGUUUCACGUCUGGUUUAGUUGUGUCCAGAGAACAAAAGAACAUUUAUCUUCUCUGCUGUGAUAUGAAACUAAUUGUGUUUGGUUGGAAACUGAGGGAAUGCUGUUAGAGAGCCAUAGGUUGGAAUCAUUUCUUUUCAAUGAUGCCUCAUUUCUAAGUACUUUUGUUUAGGAGAUAUAUGAUUGCCAAUAUCAUGAAAGCAUAUUGGUGCUUCUGUUACAUCGAGCUGAUGGCUUCUACAAUGGUGUGGCAUAGAUUUUAUAUUUUUUUCACCCUGUCCUUUGUGUAAACUUAAGCUUCUUUCUCUCCCCUUCCUUUUCAUUUAAGCUUGUCCUCAUGAGCAGAAAGAAAAAGUGAUGAUUCAGUGCUUUGGCCCUGAGCCAAAAACCUCUCCUCCCUGACACUCCAUUACCAUAUGAAUUGAACAGAAUUAUUUAUAGGAAAUCUCUUUUAAGAUCAAUUCUUAUGUGUUUGACACAUGGUAAAACUCAUGGCUCUAACUGCAUAUGUAUUAGAGGAUGACCUCGUCAGUCACCAAUGGGAGGAGAGGCCCUAGGUCCUGUGAAGGCUCCAUGCCCCAGAAUAGGGGAAUGCCAGGACCAGGAAUGGGAAUGGGUUGAGUUGGGGAGCAGUGGAAAAGGGGAGUGAUAGGGAAUUUUUGGAGGGGAAACCAGGAAAGAGGACAACAUUUGAAAUGUAAAUAAAGAAAAUAUCUAAUAAUAAUAAAAAAGAUCAAUUCUUGUGUGUUUGAGAAAGAAGAUAAUGAUUCUUUCUUUAACACAUUAUCUUACUUUAUUUUGAAAAUUUCUCCUAUUUACAUUUACAGUACAAAGAGGCUUUUCUUUUAGUUUCUAAACUAUUGGGGAGUUCACUGACCACCAGAUAUGCACAUGGUCUUCAGAUACUGCGGUGUAUGUUUUCUGCAAGCAAGGACGUUCAUUCUCUGUACCUGCAUUACAGCCAUGAAUCAGGAAGUCAACAUUGGCUCUAUUUUACUACCUGAAACCCAGCUAUUUCCAGGUUUUGUUGGUGAACUUUUGGGUGCUCUUUUCAGCAGAAGAAUACAGUUUAAAUAUAAGUAUGACAGUGGGGUACUGUGUCUCUGAUCUCUUUUUGUCUAGAACAAUUCCCGAGGUCUUUCUUGCAGCUGCAAUUUUUAAAGAUUAUUGCCUGGGUGUUUUACUCAGUGUUCCUCUGGUGUCUUAUAUUCAUGUUCAACUUACUCAGUAUGGAGUGUGUCAAAGCUAAGACUUUACUGUGUCUGUAUGACCGCUCUAGCCACAGAAUGUUGGCUAUCAUAUUGUGCCAUUGUGAAGUGACACUUUUUCCUUCAUAAUUAAUAAGUAAUUGUGUGGGAAGAUACUUUUCCAUCUUGUUCAUUCCAAUUGUUCAUCAAACUCUAAACUUACAUCUUUGGUUCAGUACAGAUUCAGGGUUCUCAUUGGAUUCCUUGUUUGUUUUGACUUCCCAGUUUUUCAGAGGAGCCGCUCCCAGUCGUCUUUGACAUUCUUUUUGUUUUGUUUUUGUUUUUGUUGUUGUUGUUGUUGUUUGAGACAGAGUAAGAUAUUCCACAAUCAUCUUAUUUCCCCUUUCAAUUAGCUGUUCCUCGAGAAGUCCUGGUUAUUGAUGCUGGAGAAAAACACUUGGAAGUCCAAGUCUGUAGUCUAGUUGUACUCAUUGCUCUCAGGCACUGCUAACAAGGAGUCAGGGCUCGUAACACACACACACACACACACACACACACACACACACACACACGCACAGGAACACUCUCAUGCACUCAUUCACAAAUAUGCACACACUUAAAUCUUUGUGUCUAGAACUCCAGUCCUUAUCCCUAGAAGUAAUUCUGUGGCCCUUUCCAUUCCAGUUCAACCCAACAUGGGGGAUUCUCUUCUUUUUUUUUUUUUUUUUAACAGAGAAUUCUUUUUUUUUUAAUUAGGUAUUUUCCUCGUUUACAUUUUCAAUGCUAUCCCAAAGGUCCCCCAUACCCACCCCCCCAAUCCCCUACCCACCCACUCCCCCUUUUUGGCCCUGGCAUUCCCCUGUACUGGGGCAUAUACAGUUUGCGUGUCCAAUGGGCCUCUCUUUGCAGUGAUGACCGACUAGGCCAUCUUUUGAUACAGAUGCAGCUAAAGACAAGAGCUCCCAGGUACUGGUUAGUUCAUAAUGUUGUUCCACCUAUAGGGUUGCAGUUCCCUUUAGCUCCUUGGGUAAUUUCUCUAGCUCCUCCAUUAGGGGCCGUGUGACCCAUCCAAUAGCUGACUGUGAUCAUCCACUUCUGUGUUUGCUAGGCCCCGGCAUAUUCUCACAAGAGAGAGCUAUAUCUGGGUCCUUUCAGCGAAAUCUUGCUAGUGUAUGCAAUGGUGUCAGCAUUUGGAAGCUGAUUAUGGGAUGGAUCCCUGCAUAUGGCAAUUCUCUCUCACAGUGAAUGAACAAGACCUCAUCCUCAGAUUCACUAAAGAUCAGUCAUGCAGCUAGAGUGUUCCCUCCCUACCCUGCCCAAGACCAGCCUUACAGAAAUGUUUGUGUCUCCUUAAUGAUGUUAGUUCAUAGUGUUCAAGCAGAGGAAGAGGAAAGGCAAGUUACAUUUUUCGUAGAUAUUUACUUUCUCUUGAAUUUAUCAACCUGGCAUCAUUGCAGGCCUGCAGAGAGGAUCUGUGAGUCUCAGGCUGUAGACCGGUCUUUACCUUGAUCUGCAUGGAAUGGGAUUUCAUUUCUAGACUUUAAAGCUUGGGCAUGACUUCUCCUUGUCACGUGCUCCCUUUCCUCAUAUCUGAUCACUAGAGAUGAUGUUUUGUUUUAUUAACUAAGGAAAAUGUACUACUAUUGACAUCUUGACCCUUCUAAAAUAAACCAUAUUGAUUUGCAAUGCUGACAUUUUCACAAAAAAAAGACACAUUCUUAGAAGAACCAAAGUUUGCUUCGAGAGGGUCUAGAGACCUUGGAGUUCAGUAAUUUACUCCUUUUACUAAAGACAUAAAAUAGCUGAACAGAACCAAGGAGAAUAAAAAAAGCAAAACUAAACAACAACAAAAGAAAAACCUUUAUGAAAGGAAGUCAUCAGAAGUGGUCACCAUACUGUUCUGGAAACGACUUCUUUUCAAUAACAUUGAACUGUUUCUUCCUAAGUCUGUCCUUAGAGAAGGUGGUCAGGGCCACAUGCCCAAAGAUCUGAAAAUAUGCCACCAAUUAGUGGUUUAUUUUUCCUGGAAAAAAA